ACUACAUUAGAUACCCCUGUAGUCCUAGCCGUAAACGAUACUCGCUAGGUGUCGGCCACGGCGCGACCGUUGUCGGUGCCGUAGGGAAGCCGUGAAGCGAGCCACCUGGGAAGUACGGCCGCAAGGCUGAAACUUAAAGGAAUUGGCGGGGGAGCACAACAACGGGUGGAGCUUGCGGUUUAAUUGGAUUCAACGCCGGAAAUCUUACCGGGACCGACAGCAACAUGAAGGCCAAGCUGAAGACUUUGCCGGAUUAGCUG
This 260-nucleotide ribosomal RNA is filed under the name uncultured archaeon. RNAcentral describes it as "partial 16S ribosomal RNA". It matches the Rfam family "Archaeal small subunit ribosomal RNA", at positions 719 to 982 of the family's 1478-position model. The record is from RNAcentral.